RNAcentral lists this ribosomal RNA (253 nucleotides) under uncultured bacterium. Its description in RNAcentral is "partial 16S ribosomal RNA". It matches the Rfam family "Bacterial small subunit ribosomal RNA", at positions 524 to 776 of the family's 1533-position model. The record is from RNAcentral.
UACGUAGGGGGCAAGCGUUGUCCGGAUUUAUUGGGCGUAAAGAGCGUGUAGGCGGCCAGGGAGGUCCGUUGUGAAAACUCGAGGCUCAACCUCGAGACGCCGAUGGAAACCCCCUGGCUAGAGUCCGGAAGAGGAGAGUGGAAUUCCUGGUGUAGCGGUGAAAUGCGCAGAUAUCAGGAAGAACACCCGUGGCUAAGGCGGCUCUCUAGUACGGUACUGACGCUGAGAUGCGAAAGCGUGGGGAGCGAACAGG